GCGGGCUCCAACCCGCUG
This 18-nucleotide transfer RNA is filed under the name Archaeoglobus profundus. RNAcentral describes it as "partial tRNA-Trp". The record is from RNAcentral. Lineage: Archaea; Methanobacteriati; Methanobacteriota; Archaeoglobi; Archaeoglobales; Archaeoglobaceae.